This 71-nucleotide transfer RNA is filed under the name Insectozyma bohioensis. Its description in RNAcentral is "Candida bohioensis tRNA-Glu". It matches the Rfam family "tRNA". Rfam says of the family: Transfer RNA (tRNA) molecules are approximately 80 nucleotides in length. Their secondary structure includes four short double-helical elements and three loops (D, anti-codon, and T loops). Further hydrogen bonds mediate the characteristic L-shaped molecular structure. tRNAs have two regions of fundamental functional importance: the anti-codon, which is responsible for specific mRNA codon recognition, and the 3' end, to which the tRNAs corresponding amino acid is attached (by aminoacyl-tRNA synthetases). tRNAs cope with the degeneracy of the genetic code in two manners: having more than one tRNA (with a specific anti-codon) for a particular amino acid; and 'wobble' base-pairing, i.e. permitting non-standard base-pairing at the 3rd anti-codon position. Lineage: Eukaryota; Fungi; Ascomycota; Pichiomycetes; Serinales; Debaryomycetaceae. The record is from RNAcentral.
GACUACAUGAUCUAAUGGUAUGAUACAACUACUUCACAGUUGAUAUACGAGUUCAAUUCUCGUUGUAGUUA